GGGUUGUGAGGUUAAGCGACUAAGCGUACACGGUGGAUGCCCUGGCAGUCAGAGGCGAUGAAGGACGUGCUAAUCUGCGAUAAGCGUCGGUGAGGUGAUAUGAACCGUUAUAACCGGCGAUUUCCGAAUGGGGAAACCCAGUGUGUUUCGACACACUAUCAU
This 162-nucleotide ribosomal RNA is filed under the name Escherichia coli. RNAcentral's name for it is "partial 23S ribosomal RNA". It matches the Rfam family "Bacterial large subunit ribosomal RNA", at positions 1 to 154 of the family's 2925-position model. The record is from RNAcentral. Lineage: Bacteria; Pseudomonadati; Pseudomonadota; Gammaproteobacteria; Enterobacterales; Enterobacteriaceae.